This 301-nucleotide ribosomal RNA is filed under the name uncultured bacterium. RNAcentral describes it as "partial 16S ribosomal RNA". It matches the Rfam family "Bacterial small subunit ribosomal RNA", at positions 509 to 807 of the family's 1533-position model. The record is from RNAcentral.
CAGCCGCCACGGUAAUACGUAGGUGGCAAGCGUUGUCCGGAACUAUUGGGCGUAAAGGGCUCGCAGGCGGUUUCUUAAGUCUGAUGUGAAAGCCCCCGGCUCAACCGGGGAGGGUCAUUGGAAACUGGGAAACUUGAGUGCAGAAGAGGAGAGUGGAAUUCCACGCGUAGCGGUGAAAUGCGUAGAGAUGUGGAGGAACACCAGUGGCGAAGGCGACUCUCUGGUCUGUAACUGACGCUGAGGAGCGAAAGCGUGGGGAGCGAACAGGAUUAGAUACCCCGGUAGUCCCUGUCUCUUAUAC